UACGAAGGGUGCAAGCGUUACUCAGAAUUACUGGGCGUAAAGCGUGCGUAGGUGGUUGUUUAAGUCUGCUGUGAAAGCCCUGGGCUCAACCUGGGAAUUGCAGUGGAUACUGGGCGACUAGAGUGUGGUAGAGGAUAGUGGAAUUUCCGGUGUAGCAGUGAAAUGCGUAGAGAUCGGAAGGAACAUCUGUGGCGAAGGCGACUAUCUGGGCCAACACUGACACUGAGGCACGAAAGCGUGGGGAGCAAACAGG
Molecule: ribosomal RNA, 253 nt
Filed under: uncultured bacterium
Lineage: Bacteria
Description: partial 16S ribosomal RNA
Rfam family: Bacterial small subunit ribosomal RNA
Source: RNAcentral